AACGCAUAUUGCGCCCUUUGGUAUUCCGAAGGGCAUGCCUGUUCGAGCGUCAUUACACCCCUCAAGCCUAGGCUUGAUGUUGGGCAUUGCUGUAGAGCAUGUCUAAAAGACAGUGACGGUUCCCUUUAACCGCUGGUGCAUAGGUGUCGCCAUGUAGGGAGAUGGUAGCCAGUCUGUUAAAAUACAUUUUCUGAAGAUUGACCUCGGAUCAGGUAGGGAUACCCGCUGAACUUAA
This 235-nucleotide unclassified non-coding RNA is filed under the name uncultured Ascomycota. RNAcentral describes it as "sequence contains 5.8S rRNA gene, ITS2, 28S rRNA gene". The stretch from base 1 to 52 matches the Rfam family "5.8S ribosomal RNA", at positions 103 to 154 of the family's 154-position model. The record is from RNAcentral. Lineage: Eukaryota; Fungi; Ascomycota.